AUUUUGGUUAAAGAGAAACGAAGAUGUACCUCUUUAAAUCGCUUCUGUUGCUUUUCUUUGUGUUUGAAAGUCAAUCGAAAUCGAUUCAAAACUCAACAAUGGACAAGCAAGAUGUUUUGUUUUUGAAGACCGAAGUUAAGACUCUCAAAGAAAGAUAGGAUAAUUUAACAGAGACUGUAGAAAAAGGUUAGUGGCAAGGUUUAAUAUUUUGUUUCAUGUUUGCAAUGAGCAAGGAUCAUGGAACUUUAUUUUGAGCAAGCUGAAUAUAUUUGCAACAGUUAUGAAACUGGAAUAUAACCUGCAUGAUAAAUAUUAUAUCGUCCUGGGUAUGAAUGUUAUAUGUGCCAAAGGACGUAAAUAAACAACAAUUAAUCAAGGCAAACAUGUGAUUGGGUGAUUGAUUGUUCGAUGUUUAACGCCACUUUUAACAUUUUUUGUUAUUUUCGUGGUAGUUCGUUUUUAUUGGCAGAGGAAGCCGUAUUCACCGUGUAGAACGCCACAUGCGGGGUGUCGGCUAUGUUUGACAUGGGUAGCAAUUUUGAAGCGACGAAAAAGUAACAAGGUAAGUUCAAGCAUCAAAAUUCUUAUUUUUAGAACUCUCAGUACAUAUAAUUAUUGCACGAAAGAACCGCACAUAAUCUAUUUCCUGAAAGCAGAAGCAUCGUUUUCGUGCUCAGUUUUCUCAAACACCUCGCCCUAGUUUUCCGUGUUGCAGAUUUUGAGCUUUAUAUUUAAAUUUCGUAAAAAAACUACUUUACACAGCUACCCUCCGUAUCAUUUAUAUAGAAUUGUAUUCCUCAUUGACUUAUACCAAAUACCAGUUUCUUAGUUUAAAAUUAAUUGGUUUUAAAACUUAUUCAUCAAAAUAUAAAGUGUCGCUCGGGUGUCAGAUUUUGCGUCGCAAGGGGUAGAGGCUUGUCAUAAAAAAAUACAUAUUUGCAUGUAAAUUAGUCUUCAUAUGAUACAUUUUAUUUCAAACAUAUCUACUUAACCAUGACAAAAUAAGGAUUUUUCAUUUGCCUGUUUUUGGUCUUAUAAAACAUGUGCUUUUGAUUUCCUUCAUAGUAAAAAAAUGGCUCAAAAUAUUUAGUUUUCAAGCUGUAAAACGAUUUUUUCCUUCAGUCUAUCAUGGUAAAAAAAGUCAAGGCUAUGGCUCAAUAAACCAAAACAUGGUAGAAAAUCACAAAAUAGUCCUCAAUAUAAGAUAUGCCCGAAGCCUCCACCAGCCAAAAAUCAUCAUAGUUCAUCACCAGGUUCAUCUAAAAAUCUGUCGCACGCCGCAAAAAAUCCAUCACUCCAAAAAGAAUAGAACCACUCUCUCCAUGAAACACUCACCGGCCUUUUUCAGCGAAUGACAACACAACUUCAAGUAAUCCUGAACGAUGAACUACAAUUGUCAAUGAGAAACAACACUGUACACAAAUAUACAACGGAACAGGUUACAAGAAAAAUGAUUCAAGACAGUUAUUUCGUUCGUAAUCGCCUAGCUAGAACUAUCCGUUUUGUGUUACUCAUCUAUUAUAUCAUAUCAUAUCAUACCAUAGUCAGAGUAGACCUUCAAAGUAGAUAUGAUAUGAUAGAUGUGUAACAAAAAAAAAUCAUAUCAUAUCUACUUUGAAGGUCUACUCUGACUAUGAUAUGAUAUGAUAUGAUAUGAUGCCCUUUUUUUACUAUGAAUCAAUGAAAUCAAAAGCACAUGUUUUAUAAGACCAAAAACAGGCAAAAUGAAAAACCCCUAUUUUGUCAUGGUAAAGUAGAUGUGAAAUGAAAUCAGCGUAUAUUUUAUAAGACCAAAAAUAGGCAAAAUGAAAAAUCCUUGUUUCGUCAUGGUAAAGUAGAUGUGUUUGAAAUAAAAUGUAUCAUAUGAAGACUAAUUUACAUGCAAAUAUGUAUUUUUUAUGACAAGCCUCUACCCCUUGCGACGCAAAAUCUGACACAUCGAGCGACACUUUAUAUUUUGAUGAAUAACAGUUUAAAACCAAUUAUUAACUAAAAACUGGUAUUUUAUAAGUCAAUGAGAGGAAUACAAUCUAUAUAAAUGUACGGAGGGUAGCUGUGUAAAGUAGUUUUUAUACCGAAAUUUGCAUAUUAAAGCCUCAAAAUCUGCAACACGGAAACUAGGGCGAGUGUUUGAGAAAACUGCACUGAAAACGACGCUCUGCUUUCAGGAAUAGAUUAUGUUUGCGAUUCCUUCCGUGCAAUACUUAUAUGGUACUGAGAGUUCUAAAAAUAAGAAAUUUUGAUGCUUGACCUUACCUUGUUACUUUUUCGUCGCUUCAAAAUUUCCACCCCAUGUCAAACAUAGCCGACACCCCGCAUGUGGCGUUCUACACGGUGGUAUUGGGAAUGAUAGAUGCAUAGUACGUACUAAAAUUUGGCGAUGUCCGUCAAAAUUCACACCAACGAAAUCAGGUAGUCCGGAAGGUUGAGUAGUUCCUGUUAUACUAGUGUCACGCAAUUUCCAUUAUCUAAGGGAUAUUUAAAAGGACUUUUAAUAUAGUUUUCCCUUUGAAUUAAUUAAUUUACGUUAAAUAAACUUGUACAAAAUACUCUAUUUAAGAAACCUUUUUCAUUCUUUUAUCAGGCAGAAAACAUGGAAUACCAACAGUCAUGUUUUUCGUUCGGCUAACUGCCGCCACCAUCCUUAACAAAAACUCGAUUGUAAAGUUUGACCAAGUGACCACAGAUACCGGAAAUAACUUCAUCCCUGGAGACGGAAUAUUUGUGGCGCCUGCAGUGUCUGGGAUCUAUUUAUUUUCGUGGACAACAUUGGCCUACACCGGCAAAAAUGUUGAGACCGAACUGAG
RNAcentral lists this long non-coding RNA (2807 nucleotides) under Mytilus galloprovincialis (Mediterranean mussel). Lineage: Eukaryota; Metazoa; Mollusca; Bivalvia; Mytilida; Mytilidae. The record is from RNAcentral.